UGGGGAAUUUUGGACAAUGGGCGCAAGCCUGAUCCAGCCAUGCCGCGUGUGUGAAGAAGGCCUUCGGGUUGUAAAGCGCUUUCGGACGGAACGAAAUCGCGCGGGCGAAUACCCCGCGUGGAUGACGGUACCGUAAGAAGAAGCACCGGCUAACUACGUGCCAGCAGCCGCGGUAAUACGUAGGGUGCGAGCGUUAAUCGGAAUUACUGGGCGUAAAGUGUGCGCAGGCGGCGCCGCAAGUCGAGUGUGAAAGCCCCGGGCUUAACUUGGGAAUUGCGCUCGAAACUAUGGUGCUGGAGUGUGGCAGAGGAAGGUGGAAUUCCACGUGUAGCGGUGAAAUGCGUAGAGAUGUGGAGGAACACCGAUGGCGAAGGCGGCCUUCUGGGCCAACACUGACGCUCAUGCACGAAAGCGUGGGGAGCAAACAGGAUUAGAUACCCUGGUAGUCCACGCCCUAAACGAUGAUGACUAGUUGUUGGAGGAGUUAAAUCCUUUAGUAACGCAGCUAACGCGUGAAGUCAUCCGCCUGGGGAGUACGGUCGCAAGAUUAA
Molecule: ribosomal RNA, 551 nt
Filed under: uncultured beta proteobacterium
Lineage: Bacteria; Pseudomonadati; Pseudomonadota; Betaproteobacteria
Description: bacterial SSU rRNA
Rfam family: Bacterial small subunit ribosomal RNA
Source: RNAcentral